UUUUUUUUUUCACCCUGCUUUAAAAGCCCUUGGGCCCUUCCCAACUGGGUGCCAGCCAACUGUGGCUGCCUGGGACACUCCAUCUUAAGUCCCUGUGCCUCUGCUGUGUGUUACUGAGUGCCUAGGCCGUGCCAGCCUGUAUUCAUCUGUACUAUGACCUGAAGAGGCAGAGGCCAUCAUUGUUGGUCUGGUCUCCACCUGGGGAAACUGAGGUGUCUCUGUGGUGACGAGCAGGGCUUCAUCCAGUGCCUCUGUCCCCACCGAGGGGACUGUGGGAGCCAUGGAGGGUGUGUGAGCAACAGGUGAGACUGGAGCCAGCUGAAAACUGGGAGACCGACCCAGCCAACAAACAAUGUCGGUCUCUGUCCUGGCACCCGCAGGAAACAAGCUCCUACUUCCAGAAAAAGUGCUCCUGGGACUCCAGGAUACCAAGUAAACUCUCUGAGCCUGUUCCUUCAUCUGCAAAGGGGAAUAACAGGGCCAGCCUCACCUGCU
This 495-nucleotide long non-coding RNA is filed under the name Pan troglodytes (chimpanzee). RNAcentral describes it as "lincRNA". The record is from RNAcentral. Lineage: Eukaryota; Metazoa; Chordata; Mammalia; Primates; Hominidae.